UAACCUGCCCAAGAGAUCGGGAUAACACCUGGAAACAGAUGCUAAUACCGGAUAACAACAGAUGAUGCCUAUCAACUGUUUAAAAGAUGGUUCUGCUAUCACUCUUGGAUGGACCUGCGGUGCAUUAGCUAGUUGGUAGGGUAACGGCCUACCAAGGCUAUGAUGCAUAGCCGAGUUGAGAGACUGAUCGGCCACAUUGGGACUGAGACACGGCCCAAACUCCUACGGGAGGCAGCAGAA
RNAcentral lists this ribosomal RNA (240 nucleotides) under uncultured Lactobacillus sp. RNAcentral describes it as "partial 16S ribosomal RNA". It matches the Rfam family "Bacterial small subunit ribosomal RNA", at positions 122 to 354 of the family's 1533-position model. Lineage: Bacteria; Bacillati; Bacillota; Bacilli; Lactobacillales; Lactobacillaceae. The record is from RNAcentral.